AGGACGAACGCUGGCGGCGUGCCUAACACAUGCAAGUCGAACGCGCUCCAUUCGGUAGCAAUACUGAUGAAGAGCGAGUGGCGAACGGGUGAGUAGCACGUGAGCAACCUGCCCCGAAGACCGGGACAACACCGGGAAACCGGUGCUAAUACCGGAUAUCCCUAUCGGACCGCAUGAUCUGAUAAGGAAAUGGAUUCCGCUUCGGGAGGGGCUCGCGGCCUAUCAGCUAGUUGGUGAGGUAACGGCCCACCAAGGCAUCGACGGGUAGCUGGUCUGAGAGGACGAUCAGCCACACUGGGACUGAGACACGGCCCAGACUCCUACGGGAGGCAGCAGUGGGGAAUCUUGCGCAAUGGGCGAAAGCCUGACGCAGCAACGCCGCGUGGAGGACGAAGGCUUUCUGAGUUGUAAACUCCUUUCAGCAGGGACGAUAGUGACGGUACCUGCAGAGAGCACCGGCCAACUACGCGCCAGCAGCCGCGGUAAC
This 487-nucleotide ribosomal RNA is filed under the name uncultured bacterium. RNAcentral's name for it is "SSU rRNA". It matches the Rfam family "Bacterial small subunit ribosomal RNA", at positions 26 to 524 of the family's 1533-position model. The record is from RNAcentral.